Molecule: ribosomal RNA, 426 nt
Filed under: uncultured rumen bacterium
Lineage: Bacteria
Description: bacterial SSU rRNA
Rfam family: Bacterial small subunit ribosomal RNA
Source: RNAcentral
GUGAGGAAUAUUGGGCAAUGGAGGCAACUCUGACCCAGCCAUGCCGCGUGAGGGAAUAAGGCCCUACGGGUCGUAAACCUCUUUUGCUUGGGGACAAGGACGGCGUCGGGAACGCCGUUUGCGGGUACCAGGCGAAUAAGCAUCGGCUAACUCCGUGCCAGCAGCCGCGGUAAUACGGAGGAUGCGAGCGUUAUCCGGAUUCAUUGGGUUUAAAGGGUGCGCAGGCGGCCUGUUAAGUCAGCGGUGAAAGUCAGGGGCCCAACCCCGGAAGUGCCGUUGAUACUGAUGGGCUUGAAUGCGGUCGAGGCGGGCGGAAUGUGGUGUGUAGCGGUGAAAUGCAUAGAUAUGCCACAGAACGCCGAUAGCGAAGGCAGCUCGCCAGGCCUGCAUUGACGCUCAGGCACGAAAGCGUGGGGAUCAAACAGG